ACGGGGGGAGCAAACGUUGUUCGGAAUCACUGGGCGUAAAGGGAGCGUAGGCGGCCAUGUAAGUGAGGUGUUAAAUCCCCCGGCUCAACCGGGGACCUGCACCUCAUACUGCACGGCUUGAGUACAUCAGAGGAGACUGGAAUUCCCGGUGUAGCGGUGAAAUGCGUAGAUAUCGGGAGGAACAUCUGUGGCGAAGGCGACACCCUGGACCAGCACUGACACUGAGGCACGAAAGCGUGGGGAGCAAACAGGA
This 253-nucleotide ribosomal RNA is filed under the name uncultured prokaryote. Its description in RNAcentral is "partial 16S ribosomal RNA". It matches the Rfam family "Bacterial small subunit ribosomal RNA", at positions 525 to 777 of the family's 1533-position model. The record is from RNAcentral.